This 263-nucleotide ribosomal RNA is filed under the name uncultured Lysobacterales bacterium. Its description in RNAcentral is "uncultured Xanthomonadales bacterium partial 16S ribosomal RNA". It matches the Rfam family "Bacterial small subunit ribosomal RNA", at positions 524 to 786 of the family's 1533-position model. Lineage: Bacteria; Pseudomonadati; Pseudomonadota; Gammaproteobacteria; Lysobacterales. The record is from RNAcentral.
UACGAAGGGUGCAAGCGUUACUCGGAAUUACUGGGCGUAAAGCGUGCGUAGGUGGUUCGUUAAGUCUGAUGUGAAAGCCCUGGGCUCAACCUGGGAACUGCAUUGGAUACUGGCGAUCUGGAGUGCGGUAGAGGGUAGCGGAAUUCCCGGUGUAGCAGUGAAAUGCGUAGAUAUCGGGAGGAACAUCCGUGGCGAAGGCGGCUACCUGGACCAGCACUGACACUGAGGCACGAAAGCGUGGGGAGCAAACAGGAUUAGAUACC